Non-coding RNA from Pundamilia nyererei, 479 nucleotides. The record is from the annotation of a RefSeq genome assembly. Lineage: Eukaryota; Metazoa; Chordata; Actinopteri; Cichliformes; Cichlidae.
UCCAGAGAACUGAGAAGGUUUAUAGUCCUGUGACUUCAACACUGCAGGACUCACAUCUGUCAGUCAACACAGCAGAAAGCACAACCACCAUGACUCUCAUCACCAUCCUCAUCUGGACGCUGACCUGCUGCUGUUUUACAGGAUGCAGCGGUCAGGUGACUGUGACUCAACCUCCAGCAGUGACAUUUACUCCUGGAUCUACUGUCACCCUGACCUGUAGGACCAACCAAGCUGUUGGUGGCUGUGGUGCUGGUCAGUGUAUGUUCUGGUAUCAACAGAAAUCUGGACAAACUCCAAAGCUCCUAAUUCGACAUGUGAGCAUAAGACAUUCAGGAACACCAACUCGAUUUAGUGGCAGUGGAAGCAGCUCUGACUUCUCUAUGACCAUCAGUGGAGUUCAGGCUGAAGAUGCAGCAGUUUACUACUGUAAGAGUGUGCAUAGCGGGCCAGUGUUCACACAGUGAUUUGUAGUCAUACAA